RNAcentral lists this ribosomal RNA (501 nucleotides) under uncultured Acidovorax sp. Its description in RNAcentral is "bacterial SSU rRNA". It matches the Rfam family "Bacterial small subunit ribosomal RNA", at positions 9 to 507 of the family's 1533-position model. The record is from RNAcentral. Lineage: Bacteria; Pseudomonadati; Pseudomonadota; Betaproteobacteria; Burkholderiales; Comamonadaceae.
GAGUUUGAUCCUGGCUCAGAUUGAACGCUGGCGGCAUGCCUUACACAUGCAAGUCGAACGGUAACAGGUCUUCGGAUGCUGACGAGUGGCGAACGGGUGAGUAAUACAUCGGAACGUGCCCGAUCGUGGGGGAUAACGGAGCGAAAGCUUUGCUAAUACCGCAUACGAUCUACGGAUGAAAGCAGGGGACCGCAAGGCCUUGCGCGGACGGAGCGGCCGAUGGCAGAUUAGGUAGUUGGUGGGAUAAAAGCUUACCAAGCCGACGAUCUGUAGCUGGUCUGAGAGGACGACCAGCCACACUGGGACUGAGACACGGCCCAGACUCCUACGGGAGGCAGCAGUGGGGAAUUUUGGACAAUGGGCGAAAGCCUGAUCCAGCCAUGCCGCGUGCAGGAUGAAGGCCUUCGGGUUGUAAACUGCUUUUGUACGGAACGAAAAGACUCUUUCUAAUAAAGAGGGUCCAUGACGGUACCGUAAGAAUAAGCACCGGCUAACUACGUG